AUAGUUUCCAUCCGAACUGAAACAUUCCGCUCCGGUGUAUUCACCACUACUUGCGCAAAUCUGUCAAAUGUUGCCGGUUGCAUUCGUGUGCAAUUCGUCGAACCAAGCAAGCCGGUUCAUCGUCGGCCAUAACUUAAUCUCCCAUUUUAACGAGUAAGAUCCAAAAUAUUCCAACUCUUCGCAAAGUGCAAUUGUCGUUACAAUUCCACUCAAUAAUUGAAGAUUUGCAUUUUCAUAGCGGUUAACAUGUAAACGUUGUGGAAUGUAUCAUAAGUAAGUGAUAAAUCGCGAACGUUUGCGGUAAAAAAAGUGGAAUCGUGCGACGUAUGACUUCUAGCGGUACGGUGUCCGGGUUUUUCGAUGAACGAUCAGUGAAUGUAUGUGGUUUCGUACUCGGUCGGUGGCAAAAGAUGACAAGAACUGCAGAAAAGGUUCGAAUUUUGCGACUGGAUCGAAAGGAAAGCUAGUGCAAUGGCUUUGUUUGCGAAACGUAGUUUGGAAUACAAGGAACUGUCCUUGUUUGCGGGAAACAAUUCCAUCGCAAUGGAGAUGCUAGAGACAAUUAUUGACCGAAAACAAUCGAGUUGUGAACUGAAGAAUUAUUGAAUUUCAACCCGUUAUAAAGGUUUUUCUAAAAAGUGUGUCGAUGUCAUUCAUCAGCGUAUCUUGAGAAUUUUUGUGUAUUUGGCGAUAACUUUCAAGUGAUUAUCGAGGAAGAAAUCAUUGAUUCAAUACCGAAUCACCCCGACUGCAGCUUCACAUCCGAUGAAGCACAGGAUCAACCUGGACCAUCACAGUCUCGCAAAAGACGAUAUGCAGAACCGGUCAACGAGCGCAAUUUGCGACGAAAGGUGAUGCAGUUGGUGGUGGAAAGAAUGGAAAAUCUAUCAAGGCAGACAAACGCAUCAACUAAUUCGUUUGGUUCGUUUAUUGACAUGGAGAUAAACAAGAUGCCACCCGAUAUGGAGAUACGAGCCAAAAAGUUAAUUACAGAUGUAAUUUGGAUGGGCCGCAAAGGUGAAUUGACAGAUGAAAUACGGAUGUGCAAACCGGAUUAGCAUAAUACUUUCUUGUUUUCAAUAAAAAAAAACUAUAAAAAUUACAAAAUACAAAAAAAAACAACACAAAUUACCUGCAAAUAAUCUUUCAACGCUGUUAUGAUAGCGGAACAUGUUUCGGGUAUGAUGGAUGAUAGCAGCGGCUGCGAAAUUGCUGUCUGAAAACGGAGGCACUGGUAGGAGCUGCCGCUGAUGAUAAAUCUCAGUGUAGCACUGAGCCGCUAAUGUGGUGACACAGCUGGUCUCAUAAUCGUGUCUUCCUUCACGAUCAGCGGUGUGACCUUCUCCAAAAGCCACAUGUAUGAUUCCUCAUCCAUUCUGGCGUAAUUUAGCCAAUCCGUCGGCUCCAGCCUCAGCUCUUCCAUCAUGUUGAUAUGCGAUAGGGAACUUCUUUUCAAAUACAUGGGUUUUACCCAUUUCGAUCGCGGCUUUCUUUCGCUUUGUGUAGCAAAUAACGCUCCUAGCAUAAGCAAAACAUCGUCUUCAAUAUUCAUUUUACUAAACUCAUAUAUCGCAUGAACUAAACUGGAAAAAAAAUUGGAGGAAAAUUGCGAGUCAAAACAACGCACCCAAAAUGUAAACAAUCCUCACUUUGACAGAAAAAAAACUAGCGCGAUCGCAUUCUGAAUUCAGCAUGACGACCCAAGGGGAAAUUUUCGAGGAUAAAUAUCUCCCUCUCUUUCUAUUUAUACACCUCUUCCGUUCGCACUCAUGGAUGAUUUUUCACACACUCGAGUUUGGUUCAUGAUGGCUAAAAUGUUUACAUUUUGCUCUCCUUUUAUUAUUAUACCCAUCUCGCUUACGCCUAUAGAUUCACCUUGUUUAGGUGAAUAUGUGUAUGGGCAUGUGUGCACUCGCACGGGGUUUGUCUCGUUACUUUACGAUACGAACGGUAUAUAUUAUACCGUCAUUAAUGUUUUUACAGUUCGUUUGAGUAUUUUCAUUCAAUCCCAAAGUGUUUUAAGUUCAUCGAUCUCUUUCACAUGGUUUUCGAUAUGAUUUUAUUGUCAAGACGGUAGGUUUUAUCGAAAAAAUGUAUAUAACGAAUUGAAACACUUUGUACAAAAUAUGCCGUUUGCAUCGAAAAGUGAAUAGGCGAGCCCUGUAUCUUUGAUCGCUGAUUUUUGGUCUGGCUGCUCAUGGAGAAGCGGUUUCAAGUCGUGCGAUUUGUUUUGAGCAAUUUGUGCAGGCAAUGAUUUCGUCAAUAAAAAAGGAUGCUGCGGAUCUUUCGAUCGUCAAAGGGAUCGGCUCAGGAUAUGCCUUCAAAUACCGUUACUACAUUAACCUUCACAACGACCAUGUUCCGGACAAAAAUGGGGACGACACUGGAGCAUUUCUUUGCCUGGUUCAGCUGCGCAAUAUGUACGUGAUGCAUUUCGCUCGUUCAUGUUCUUAUUGCACCUAACACUAUCGCACUGAGUGGCCGGGAUGGGCCUCCGGCUCGAAGGGAACAAUCGUCACCAACAGGAGAUCGACUACACUGUGUGAACCAUCCUGUCCAGUGCAACCAGGCAACACAACUUUCCUCUUCAGCAACAGCACCAUCAUAAUCCGUGCUAGAAGUAACUCCAACUUGUUGUCGGGAGACUAAAAGAUGCAAAAUUGAUCUUAAAUAAAAGCAUACAAAUUUGUGUA
RNA transcript from Anopheles stephensi (Asian malaria mosquito), 2693 nucleotides. RefSeq lists it as uncharacterized. The record is from RefSeq and is a predicted model, not a curated record. Lineage: Eukaryota; Metazoa; Arthropoda; Insecta; Diptera; Culicidae. The transcript has 6 exons.